AUUGAACGCUGGCGGCAGGCUUAACACAUGCAAGUCGAGCGAGCGGCGGCCGGGUGAGUAAUGCCUGGGAAACUGCCUGAUGGAGGGGGAUAACUACGGGAAACGGUAGCUAAUACCGCAUAACAUCAGAUGUGCCCAGAUGGGAUUAGCUAGUAGGUGGGGUAAUGGCUCCCCUAGGCGACGAUCCAUAGCUGGUCUGAGAGGAUGACCAGCCACACUGGAACUGAGCCACGGUCCAUACCCCUACGGGAGGCAGCAGUGGGGAAUAUUGCACAAUGGGCGCAAGCCUGAUGCAGCCAUGCCGCGUGUGUGAAGAAGGCCUUCGGGUUGUAAAGCACUUUCAGCGAGGAGGCGUUACUCGCAGAAGAAGCACCGGCUAACUCCGUGCCAGCAGCCGCGGAAUUC
This 405-nucleotide ribosomal RNA is filed under the name uncultured bacterium. RNAcentral describes it as "partial 16S ribosomal RNA". It matches the Rfam family "Bacterial small subunit ribosomal RNA", at positions 30 to 525 of the family's 1533-position model. The record is from RNAcentral.